GAUGAACGCUGGCGGCGUGCCUAAUACAUGCAAGUCGAGCGAACAGACGAGGAGCUUGCUCCUCUGACGUUGGCGGCGGACGGGUGAGUAACACGUGGAUAACCUACCUAUAAGACUGGGAUAACUUCGGGAGACCGGAGCUAAUACCGGAUAAUAUAUUGAACCGCAUGGUUCAAUAGUGAAAGACGGUUUUGCUGUCACUUAUAGAUGGAUCCGCGCCGCAUUAGCUAGUUGGUAAGGUAACGGCUUACCAAGGCAACGAUGCGUAGCCGACCUGAGAGGGUGAUCGGCCACACUGGAACUGAGACACGGUCCAGACUCCUACGGGAGGCAGCAGUAGGGAAUCUUCCGCAAUGGGCGAAAGCCUGACGGAGCAACGCCGCGUGAGUGAUGAAGGUCUUCGGAUCGUAAAACUCUGUUAUUAGGGAAGAACAAAUGUGUAAGUAACUAUGCACGUCUUGACGGUACCUAAUCAGAAAGCCACGGCUAACUACGUG
Molecule: ribosomal RNA, 497 nt
Filed under: uncultured bacterium
Lineage: Bacteria
Description: partial 16S ribosomal RNA
Rfam family: Bacterial small subunit ribosomal RNA
Source: RNAcentral